Molecule: long non-coding RNA, 427 nt
Organism: Strigops habroptila (Kakapo)
Lineage: Eukaryota; Metazoa; Chordata; Aves; Psittaciformes; Psittacidae
Exons: 2
Source: RefSeq, a predicted model, not a curated record
GUUACGCGGCCGUCGGCCCCCUCGGGCUUUCCAGUUGUGCAGCUACACGUUGCCAGGGCCCGGAGGAACUCUGAUGCGUCUCUCCGCUUGUCCCUCCUUUACACCUGUGGCCGGCGCCGUGGACAUCCAUCCCAUCCGCGGACGGAAUAGAGUUUGCAUGAGCAGACUCAUUUAUUUCACGCGUCCUAAAAGAAUCAGUGUACGUGUUUGUAUUAAGUUAAGCUGCCUUUGUAAGGAUGCUUCGGUUGAAAGCGCUGUGGCUGUCGUGUAGCAGGAAGCUCCAUGGUGAAAUGUUAGUCAGUUACGACGCUGUGGUACAUUAGAGGGUUAUUCUUUGGGAUUCCUUUUCGUCUGUUGCAUUAUAUUAACUAAACUGAGCAUUUGUUGAGUUGGAGAGGAUAAAUAAAAUGUUCACUUAUAUAUGCUA